UUUAAGACUCUAGUUUCCAUUUAGCAGUUGUAAUAUAAGAUUGACCAAUUAUUACUAGAUAUAUAGUAGAAUUUUAUACAAAAAAAAUUUGCUCCUCUUCCACAUGUCCAAUCCUAAUCUUUAUAACUGAAUAAACUCCAUAUAAAUCAUCUUAUUGGUUAUUUGUAGCUCUAAUUACUCAACCAUGGUUGGUAUCAAUUAGUCACUUAUUCUUCUCAUAUAUUUACCUUGAUAUAAUAUUGAUUUUAGAUCCAUGAUAAACUAAGGCCAAAAUUGGAUCUUUAAAGUCUUCUAACCUCAUAUAUGUCUUAAUAGUAGCUCUAGUCUAAUAAAGAGCUGAAUAGCUAUUAAUUUCUAUUCUAUUAUUAUCACAUUUAGAACAAAUAUUUAUACAUGCUUGUUGUGCAUUCUUCUUUAUCUCCAUAAAUUCUAUAGAUAUACAUUCUAUUUGAUGCUCUUC
RNAcentral lists this long non-coding RNA (460 nucleotides) under Physcomitrium patens. RNAcentral describes it as "long non-coding RNA (PPAT_LNC003799)". The record is from RNAcentral. Lineage: Eukaryota; Viridiplantae; Streptophyta; Bryopsida; Funariales; Funariaceae.